CGAGGAGAGUUCUUUGGAGAGGCAAGCUGACGGCAGCAAACUAGAAAAGAAAUCUGGGCAAGAAACCUGAGGGUGGAGGAACGGAAAAAUCUGAAGAGUAGCAAGAGAGCUUGAUCCUGGUACAGCAAGCUCCGUUUCUGGGUUUGCUAUCUGGCACCACCUCCACCUUCAUCAUCAGACCACGGUUGUCCACUCUUGUUAUCCUUCCCCCGCCACCAUCCAACACCAACUUUGCCCUCUGGAUCCAAAAGCUUGAAGAAGCCGCGGCCUUUUCUUCAUUUUUAUGGUCUACCUCCUCCAGACUUGCAGCUACUGCUGCAGUAUCAUCAAGAAAUCAGCCCGCAUCCAUCGUCGCUGCUGUACAUCAUUUCAGUCCCCC
Molecule: long non-coding RNA, 379 nt
Filed under: Coffea arabica (coffee)
Lineage: Eukaryota; Viridiplantae; Streptophyta; Magnoliopsida; Gentianales; Rubiaceae
Description: long non-coding RNA (CARA_LNC003391)
Source: RNAcentral